RNAcentral lists this ribosomal RNA (459 nucleotides) under uncultured bacterium. RNAcentral's name for it is "SSU rRNA". It matches the Rfam family "Bacterial small subunit ribosomal RNA", at positions 26 to 518 of the family's 1533-position model. The record is from RNAcentral.
AGAAUCAACGCUGGCGGCGUGCCUAACACAUGCAAGUCGAACGAGAAAGUGGAGCAAUCCAUGAGUAAAGUGGCGCACGGGUGAGUAACACGUGACUAACCUACCCUUGAGUGGGGAAUAACUGAGGGAAACCUUGGCUAAUACCGCAUAAUACCUACGGGUCAAAGGAGCAAUUCGCUUAAGGAGGGGUCGCGGCAGAUUAGCUAGUUGGCGGGGUAAUGGCCCACCAAGGCAGUGAUCUGUAUCCGGCCUGAGAGGGCGCACGGACACACUGGAACUGAAACACGGUCCAGACUCCUACGGGAGGCAGCAGUGGGGAAUUUUGCGCAAUGGGGGAAACCCUGACGCAGCAACGCCGCGUGGAGGAUGAAGACCCUUGGGUCGUAAACUCCUUUCGAUCGGGACGAUUAUGACGGUACCGGAAGAAGAAGCCCCGGCUAACUUCGCGCCAGCAGCCGC